This 290-nucleotide ribosomal RNA is filed under the name uncultured eukaryote. RNAcentral describes it as "partial 18S ribosomal RNA". It matches the Rfam family "Eukaryotic small subunit ribosomal RNA", at positions 6 to 306 of the family's 1831-position model. The record is from RNAcentral.
GGUUGAUCCUGCCAGUAGUCAUAUGCUUGUCCCAAAGAUUAAGCCAUGCAUGUGCAAGUAUAAACCAAUUUAUACGGUGAAACUGCGAAUGGCUCAUUAAAUCAGUUAUAAUUUAUUUGAAGGUCAAUUUACUAAUUGGAUAACCGUGGUAAUUCUAGAGCUAAUACAUGCAAAAGACCUGACCGUGAGGGAGGGUUGUAUUUAUUGGGUAAAAGCCAACGUCGAAAGACUAUUUUGGUGAUUCACGAUAACUGAGCGGAUCGCAAUAUUGCGACGCUUCAUUCAAAUUU